RNAcentral lists this ribosomal RNA (465 nucleotides) under uncultured Klebsiella sp. RNAcentral describes it as "bacterial SSU rRNA". It matches the Rfam family "Bacterial small subunit ribosomal RNA", at positions 338 to 795 of the family's 1533-position model. The record is from RNAcentral. Lineage: Bacteria; Pseudomonadati; Pseudomonadota; Gammaproteobacteria; Enterobacterales; Enterobacteriaceae.
CCUACGGGAGGCAGCAGUGGGGAAUAUUGCACAAUGGGCGCAAGCCUGAUGCAGCCAUGCCGCGUGUGUGAAGAAGGCCUUCGGGUUGUAAAGCACUUUCAGCGGGGAGGAAGGCGAUGAGGUUAAUAACCUCAUCGAUUGACGUUACCCGCAGAAGAAGCACCGGCUAACUCCGUGCCAGCAGCCGCGGUAAUACGGAGGGUGCAAGCGUUAAUCGGAAUUACUGGGCGUAAAGCGCACGCAGGCGGUCUGUCAAGUCGGAUGUGAAAUCCCCGGGCUCAACCUGGGAACUGCAUUCGAAACUGGCAGGCUAGAGUCUUGUAGAGGGGGGUAGAAUUCCAGGUGUAGCGGUGAAAUGCGUAGAGAUCUGGAGGAAUACCGGUGGCGAAGGCGGCCCCCUGGACAAAGACUGACGCUCAGGUGCGAAAGCGUGGGGAGCAAACAGGAUUAGAUACCCUAGUAGUC